RNAcentral lists this ribosomal RNA (908 nucleotides) under uncultured organism. Its description in RNAcentral is "SSU rRNA". It matches the Rfam family "Bacterial small subunit ribosomal RNA", at positions 527 to 1445 of the family's 1533-position model. The record is from RNAcentral.
GGAGGAUGCGAGCGUUAUCCGGAUUUAUUGGGUUUAAAGCGAGCGCAGACGGGUCGUUAAGUCAGCUGUGAAAGUUUGGGGCUCAACCUUAAAAUAGCAGCUGAUACUGGCGUCCUUGAGUGCGGCUGAGGUGUGCGGAAUUCGUGCUGUAGCGGUGAAAUGCUUAGAUAUCACGAAGAACUCCGACUGCGAAGGCAGCACACUAAGCCGUAACUGACGUUCAUGCUCGAAAGUGUGGGUAUCAAACAGGAUUAGAUACCCUGGUAGUCCACACGGUAAACGAUGGAUACUCGCUGUUGGCGAUAUACAGUCAGCGGCUUAGCGAAAGCGCUAAGUAUCCCACCUGGGGAGUACGCCGGCAACGGUGAAACUCAAAGGAAUUGACGGGGGCCCGCACAAGCGGAGGAACAUGUGGUUUAAUUCGAUGAUACGCGAGGCACCUCACCCGGCCUUAAACUGCAAAGGAAUGAUCUGGAAACAGGUCAGUCUUCGGACCUUUGUGAAGGUGCUGCAUGGUUGUCGUCAGCUCGUGCCGUGAGGUGUCGGCUUAAGUGCCAUAACGAGCGCAUCCCUCGCCGCCAGCUACUAACAGGUAAUGCUGAGGACUCCGGCGGGACUGCCAUCGUAAGAUGUGAGGAAGGUGGGGAUGACGUCAAAUCAGCACGGCCCUUACGUCCGGGGCUACACACGUGUUACAAUGGGGGGUACAGAAGGCAGCUACCACGCGACAGGAUGCCAAUCCCGAAAGCCGCUCUCAGUUCGGACCGGAGUCUGCAACCCGACUCCCCGAAGCAGGAUUUGCUAGUAAUCGCGCAUCAGCCACGGCGCGGUGAAUACGUUCCCGGCCCUUGUACACACCGCCCGUCAAGCCAUGGGAGCCGGGGGUACCAGAAGUGCGUAACCGCGAG